ACUCUCGCAGGCUGCCAGUCUGUGCGCUGGUCUGUCCGUCCGUCCGAAUCCCUCCGUCCCACCAGCAAUGCAGCGUCCCUCUUCCGGUCUUCUGUGCCCACAGUCCUCUCCCACUCUGUGCCCCUGGCCGCUUCGCUCGGCCCUCCAGCGUACCCGUCUCGGGGGCGCCCCUGGACUCCUGGGGACUCUUGACGAAGCCUUGUUCCACUCCCUCCACCGCUCACUCUCCAGGCCAACUCUGCAGAGACAAUCCCACAAUAAUAACACCUCGCCCCACCCGAAUGAAUCCGUAGCCUCAGCGCUCUUGGAGAUUCUUUGCUUUGAGCAAGACUGAAAGUCCGAACGUGCAGCACCAAGUGUACUCCCUGUGGGUGACUGCCCAGACCGCUGCCCACCUGAUCGCUGAUUUGGAAUCACAGAGGUGCCACAGAAACCUGGGCAGGGUAGGACCUGGGGAAGGAACAGAGUUGACACCUGAAGAAAUAAAAGCCUUGAUUUUAC
This 501-nucleotide long non-coding RNA is filed under the name Homo sapiens (human). RNAcentral's name for it is "non-protein coding lnc-DCLK3-5:3". Lineage: Eukaryota; Metazoa; Chordata; Mammalia; Primates; Hominidae. The record is from RNAcentral.